Molecule: unclassified non-coding RNA, 1428 nt
Filed under: Hevea brasiliensis (rubber tree)
Lineage: Eukaryota; Viridiplantae; Streptophyta; Magnoliopsida; Malpighiales; Euphorbiaceae
Source: RNAcentral
GAAUAUUAUUAUUUAAAAAAGCAGCCACGGCCAACAGAGAAGAACCAGCUGUUUUAAACUUAAAAUCAGUAACAAAAACCUUAUUACAAGGAAAUAAAUUAAAGAGAGAGCUUUAUACAAACAUUUUUGUUCUAUGGAAUUCCCAUUAAAUUAAUUCCAAAAUUAUCAAUCCCAUUAAGCUCUCAUAUUCCACGUGAUCCCCCUAACAAUUACCAAAAUGCCGAUCAAAUCUUCCUACUGCUUUUCCAAUGCUGAUCAACAAACGCUAAAAAUCAUGUCAUUAACAGCUGCACUUUCCUUUAUUUGGGUUUAAAUCCCAAAUGUCAUCCCACCUAAGCAGAAAAUACUCCACUGAAUGGUUUCCCAAUAGUAAUUUGAUUCUGAGGAAUUUUGUGAACCCAAAAACAGGCAGCUAUAACAAUGUAACACAGAAAAAGAACUACUCCUUUCAUGUAGUGUGAAGUUCCAUCCUGUAAAGUGAAGGCUGUGAUAAUUAUUGUAAAAGCAAGAGAACCGGUUUCAAGAAGACUGAAAUCAAGGUCCAUAUGGACAUGCAUUAUCCAGCCAACAACUACACAUAAAGGGACCACAAACAUCGAUAUCUGAGUGGCAGAUCCCAGUGCAACGCCCAAAGAAAUGUCCAACUUGUUCUUGAAAGCAAAUAUGAUUGAUCCUGCAUGUUCCGCUGCAUUCCCCACGAUGGGUAGCAAGAUUAUGCUAAUAAAGCUGACAGAAAUGCCCCAAGAAUCAGAUGCAGCCUCAAUUGUGCCCACAACAUACUCAGAUAAUAAUGCUAUAAUCAUUGUCAUGCCAAGUAACCAAGAAAAUGCACUGGAAAAUCCUAUCACUGCCUUUUCUUCUUCUUCUUCUCCCUCCUCCUGAGAUUCAAACAAUUGCCUGUGAGUUUUCAGCUGGAAGAAGAUAUAAGCAACAUAUGCUAAGAGCAUAACAAUGCUGCUAGCUCUAGACAGCUCAAGGGUAUAGUAGAAAGUAACAGGGCCUUCCCCUAUAGCAUAUCUGAACAUUAGUGGCAACAUGUGGCACAGCAACCCCAACAGUAGAAGUAGUGAGUUGACAUCAGCUUGCUUUCUAUCAUAUCUUUGUUCCUUUUUCAGGUUGGCCAAGCCUCCACAGAGCAGAGAGGUCCCAAGAACAAGGAGGAGGUUUGACAAGAUGGAACCCAAUAGGGAGUACUUCAAGACGUGUAUUUUAUUUUGGUAAAGAGCAAACAAUGCUAUUAUCAAUUCUGUUGCAUUACCACAAGUUGCAUUAAGAAGCCCUCCAACUGUUGGACCAGUGUAGUAUGCAAUUUGUUCAGUGAGGAAGCUGACACGUUCUGCAAGUGGGGUAAGUCCAAGUAAACUCAAAGCAAAUAGCCAAGCUCUGCCAAAUUUAUAAAAAUCGGCAGCUAUAGCAAGAGGAAUGGCU